GACGAACGCUGGCGGCGUGCUUAACACAUGCAAGUCGAACGGAAAGGCCCUGCUUUUGUGGGGUGCUCGACUGGCGAACGGGUGAGUAACCCGUGAGUACCCUGCCCCUGCCCUUGGGAUAACUUCAGGACACUGGGUCUCAUACCGGCUAGGAGCUCCUGCUGCAUGGUGGGGGUUGGAUAGUUUCGGCGGUUGGGGAUGUACUCGCGGCGCAUCAGCUUGUUGGGGGGGUAGUGUCUUACCAAGGCUUUGACGAGUAGCCGGCCUGAGAGGAGGACCGGCCACACCAGGACGGAAAUACGGCACAGACCACUACGGGAGGGAGGGGAGCGGAGUAGAGCAUUAUGGGCGGAAGCCAGACGCAGUAAAGCCGCGUGCGGGAUGAGAGCCAUCGGUUUGUAUUCCAAUGCCGCCUUUGACGAAACGAGAGUGACGGUAAUGGGUAAAUAAGCACCGGCUAACUACGUG
RNAcentral lists this ribosomal RNA (468 nucleotides) under uncultured bacterium. RNAcentral's name for it is "partial 16S ribosomal RNA". It matches the Rfam family "Bacterial small subunit ribosomal RNA", at positions 28 to 507 of the family's 1533-position model. The record is from RNAcentral.